Dreissena polymorpha is the source of this 281-nucleotide long non-coding RNA. RefSeq lists it as uncharacterized. The transcript is spliced from 2 exons. The record is from RefSeq and is a predicted model, not a curated record. NCBI's taxonomy places the organism in Eukaryota, Metazoa, Mollusca, Bivalvia, Myida, Dreissenidae.
UGGUUUCCGGAUAACUCAAGAACGCAUACGCCUAGGAUCAUGAAACUUCAUGGGUAGAUUGAUCAUGACUCGCAGAUGACCCCUAUUGAUUUUGAGGUCACUAGGUCAAAGGUCAAGGUGACCCGAAAUAGUAAAAUGGUUUUCGGAUGAUAACUCAAGAAUGCAUACGCCUAGGAUCAUGAAACUUCAUGGGUAGAUUGAUCAUGACUCGCAUAUGACCCCUAUUGAUUUUGAGGUCACUAGGUCAAAGGUCAAGGUCACGGUGACCCGAAAUAGUAAAA